CUUCAGGAAACAAAUGGGAGGAGCAAAGGGAUGAGAGUCCAGAAUCCACAGACGAAUGGGUAUGUUAUAGGAAUUACCAUAUUUCACCGGGACAGUACCGCUGAAAUUCAGGAGGUCCUUCUGGGAUCCGUCCUUGAAGGUGUAAGUGUUCAUGGAGAAGGAGAAGUUCGGGUGCGCCCUGCUGACAGCCGUCACUUCCUCUACGGUCAGGUCUCUGAACUUGUACUUGCCCAGCUGCUUCCGCAGCGCCUCCGCCGAGAACGCCAUGGCCGCGGCCUCCCAGGAGGCCCCGC
RNAcentral lists this long non-coding RNA (293 nucleotides) under Gallus gallus (chicken). Lineage: Eukaryota; Metazoa; Chordata; Aves; Galliformes; Phasianidae. The record is from RNAcentral.